Molecule: ribosomal RNA, 432 nt
Filed under: uncultured bacterium
Lineage: Bacteria
Description: partial 16S ribosomal RNA
Rfam family: Bacterial small subunit ribosomal RNA
Source: RNAcentral
CCUACGGGAGGCUGCAGUGGGGAAUAUUGGACAAUGGGCGCAAGCCUGAUCCAGCCAUGCCGCGUGAGUGAUGAAGGCCUUAGGGUUGUAAAGCUCUUUCACCGAUGAAGCGGUAGUCGGAGAAGAAGCCCCGGCUAACUUCGUGCCAGCAGCCGCGGUAAUACGAAGGGGGCUAGCGUUGUUCGGAAUUACUGGGCGUAAAGCGCACGUAGGCGGAUAUUUAAGUCAGGGGUGAAAUCCCGCAGCUCAACUGCGGAACUGCCUUUGAUACUGGGUAUCUUGAGUAUGGAAGAGGUAAGUGGAAUUGCGAGUGUAGAGGUGAAAUUCGUAGAUAUUCGCAGGAACACCAGUGGCGAAGGCGGCUUACUGGUCCAUACUGACGCUGAGGUGCGAAAGCGUGGGGAGCAAACAGGAUUAGAUACCCUUGUAGUC